AUAAAUAAAUAAAUAAAUAAAUAAAUAUAUAUAUAUAUAUAUAUGUGUAUUUUUUUUUUUUUUUUCAUGCUUCUGAUAAAAUUGAUACAAUAUUUAUGUUAUGUACAUUUUCUAAAUAUUUUUACAGUUCGAUAUGUUAAAACCUAAUUUUUUUUUUUUUUUUUGUUGUGUAUUAUUUUUUUCAGAUGCCGAUCAAUAGACUUUUCAAACAGCAAACCCAUAGAUAAAGAACUUUUCGCAUGGAAAUGUGAAGUAGAGUGGCCUUGCGUUAGCUCUCCCAAAUUAAAAAUCAUGGACAAGUGCCCUUUUCGAUGGACACAUAUAGGCAACAAUUUGUGCAUAGCGCCAGAGGAUUAUUCCAAAAAAUGCCCACCAGCAUUGGAUUUAUCAAAUUAUAACUACAAAGAAAGAAUCAGAUUAGCCAAUGAAUGCAAUUUUGAAUGGAGUUAUAUCCCAAAUGAUACUAAUAACGGUGCACUGAAACAUAAAAUAAAAAUCAACAACAUAUCUGGAGGUCCAAUAGAAGAAAGUGGAAAUAUUCUAAAGAUUGUGAAUUAAUUUGUGAUUAAUUAAUUUGUUGAUAAAUUUGUGCAUAAUAUUUUUUUUUUUUUUUUUUUUUUUAUAUUAUGACACUAUUUGUAAUACUUUAAUGAUGUUCAUAUCAUUAUCCGUUGUUUUUAUUAUACUUGUUUUAAAACAAACUAAAUGAUUUUAUUCAUUUAUCUGAUUAUUCAUUUUAUUUACUUAUUUUGUUUAUUUAUUAAUUUAUUUACUCUUUUAUUUUUUUAUUUAACAUUUCCCUUCCCAAUUUUUCUACCUUCACAUCUUAAUAAAAUGAAGAACUAUUUGACUGCUGUCUU
RNAcentral lists this long non-coding RNA (860 nucleotides) under Piliocolobus tephrosceles (Ugandan red Colobus). RNAcentral describes it as "lncRNA (ENSPTEG00000001953.1)". Lineage: Eukaryota; Metazoa; Chordata; Mammalia; Primates; Cercopithecidae. The record is from RNAcentral.